GUACUGAUGACGAGUCCCAAACUAGGAUGAAACAGCUGUCCAGUAC
RNAcentral lists this non-coding RNA (46 nucleotides) under Trichobilharzia regenti. Lineage: Eukaryota; Metazoa; Platyhelminthes; Trematoda; Strigeidida; Schistosomatidae. The record is from RNAcentral.